This is a long non-coding RNA of Ipomoea triloba (trilobed morning glory), 889 nucleotides long. RefSeq lists it as uncharacterized. The transcript has 3 exons. The record is from RefSeq and is a predicted model, not a curated record. Lineage: Eukaryota; Viridiplantae; Streptophyta; Magnoliopsida; Solanales; Convolvulaceae.
GAAUUCCCGGAUUCUUGAAGAUUUGGAGAUGUUAAGGGUGGUAGGCCCUCAUGAGCUGUCUCCUAGCUCAGCUGCCUCUGCGGACGAGACCAACCCAAAACACUCACAAGUCACCGGCGUCCUCCUUCGUACUACAGCAUCGCAAAAUCGCAUGAACAUGCCUUUUCUAAGGUUUCUCUAAUAGCAGGUAAUUAAAUUGCUAAGGGUAAAGCACAGGAUAUGGUGGGGGUUAACUAGUCAUUUCCAGAACUUGGACUUGCGCUUACUGUUAAUUUCUGCAGCUCCAAGGAAGAAGGCAGCAGCAGCUUCUGCUUGAAGUUCUUUGAGGAUUUCAAGCCUUCUCUUUUUCCAUUUGUGUCAAAAAGAUGCAUGGACUCUCUUGCAAUCUCAGUUUUAUCACAGGUACUUCUGGCAUCCUCCUAUAAUUUAGUUUUGCCUGUGUGCUUCAUAUCUAGUUUUCGACAUUGGCCAUCGACGUCUCUAUAUCAAGCCAAAACAAUCCAGUCUAUACUGAUCCAUGAACUGCCUGCACUUGUCUCCAUGAAACUGAUUCUUACAUAAUAAAUUAGAGGAUCUAUAACUAAGUGUAUACUUUUUUUAGGUUGAACUAUGUGUUGCAGUUAUAGCUGAUAAAUGUGUGACUUAUGGCGAAAUGAAAUCUGAACAUAAUAUUGACUUAUAGAUUACAUACUUCUAGUAUGAAGAACUUUUAUAAUUUCCAGUGUCAAAGUAUGCUAAUCAUUAACUAUUUAGUGGCUCUUUCAUUACGCAUGGUGAUGUGAUUUUUUUUUCUUGCUUUAUUUUAUUGAUAAUUCUCAGCCAGUAACACUUGAACUUGGUCGAACACUAGUACAAAACUGUGAAAGUGAGUGCUUACCAAUAGUUGUUA